RNAcentral lists this unclassified non-coding RNA (176 nucleotides) under uncultured Gymnostellatospora. RNAcentral's name for it is "sequence contains ITS1". Lineage: Eukaryota; Fungi; Ascomycota; Leotiomycetes; Myxotrichaceae. The record is from RNAcentral.
AAAGAAGCAGCCUAAGAGCCCGUAACACGGCCACUGGGCAUACCUUCCACCCUAUGUUUAUCACACUUUGUUGCUUUGGCAGGCCUGCCUCCGGGCUGCUGGCUCCGGCCGGCGAGCGCCUGCCAGAGGACCUAAACUCUGUUUGUCUGUAACGUCUGAGUACUAUAUAAUAGUUA